This is a small nucleolar RNA of Oncorhynchus tshawytscha (Chinook salmon), 79 nucleotides long. The record is from Ensembl. Lineage: Eukaryota; Metazoa; Chordata; Actinopteri; Salmoniformes; Salmonidae.
GCAAUGAAGACAAACUUUGGUUUUGAUCAACGAGCUGAAAAAAAAACCCUCACCAAUACCUCUAAGAAGUUCUGAGCUC